AACUGAUCAGUGGAUUGAGCAGGAUAUCUGGAGAGAGAGUGGGAAGUGACAUGUUGGGGGAGUUGGCAUUGCAGCUCAGCCUGCCGCUUGGUGUGAAAGGCCCGGCUCCAGAGCACCAUGUACUUUUGCGGGACAAAGCGGGAGAGAGAGGGGCAGACAAAGAGAGACAGGAAGAAGGAGAAGAGAC
Molecule: long non-coding RNA, 187 nt
Organism: Notolabrus celidotus (New Zealand spotty)
Lineage: Eukaryota; Metazoa; Chordata; Actinopteri; Labriformes; Labridae
Exons: 3
Source: RefSeq, a predicted model, not a curated record